This 609-nucleotide long non-coding RNA is filed under the name Lathyrus oleraceus (garden pea). RNAcentral's name for it is "Pisum sativum (pea) long non-coding RNA (PSAT_LNC007805)". Lineage: Eukaryota; Viridiplantae; Streptophyta; Magnoliopsida; Fabales; Fabaceae. The record is from RNAcentral.
AAAGAUUUAAGAGAGAUUUCAUGACUUUUAUGUCAAAAACACAGUAAUUAAAAAAAAUAUAAGAUGCAAAUUGUUACAUAGUAAACUAGAUUUGUAAACAAAACAAAAUACUAAAAACUAAAAGAAUGUUUCUAAAGUAUUACCUUUCCACAAAAACUAAAAUUAAGAUAUAAAUAUUUGAUCCAAAAUUGGACAGCAAAAAGGAAAGAUGUUGUAUCACAUGCAAGAUCAUAAAUACAACUGAAUAGCAGCGACUUAAAUUCCUGGUGUAAAAUUAAAUUGUCAUGGAUACCCACAACAGAGGAUAAUAAUGAUUAUAAAAUGGGCAUUCACUCAGAAAUAGGAGUAACAGUGACCAAAAGGGAGUAGUUUUAUAAAUCAUAUACAAUUACAAGUUCCCAGGCCUGCUAUGAUUACCAACAUUGUGUGUAAUUUCCAAAGGACCACUAUUAACAUUAUAGUGAACACAAUGGUUUAUUUUUAGAGUUCAAAAAAACACUUUUUAUUUUCAGAGUUGCUUUUGAAUUGAAGAUCAGAAUAUAUGUUACACUUGAGUUGAAUUUGGAGGACACCGUUGAUAUUAUAAAAUUACAUUUUGAAUAAUAUUUU